Non-coding RNA from Thermoplasmatales archaeon, 75 nucleotides. The record is from Rfam. NCBI's taxonomy places the organism in Archaea, Methanobacteriati, Thermoplasmatota, Thermoplasmata, Thermoplasmatales.
GCUCCGAUAGUGUAGACCGGUCAAUCAUUCCGGCCUUUCGAGCCGGUGACCCGGGUUCAAAUCCCGGUCGGAGCA